This 253-nucleotide ribosomal RNA is filed under the name uncultured bacterium. Its description in RNAcentral is "partial 16S ribosomal RNA". It matches the Rfam family "Bacterial small subunit ribosomal RNA", at positions 524 to 776 of the family's 1533-position model. The record is from RNAcentral.
UACGGAGGGUGCAAGCGUUAUCCGGAUUUACUGGGCUUAAAGGGUGCGUAGGUGGGUAGGUAAGUCAGUGGUGAAAUCUCCGAGCUUAACUCGGAAACUGCCAUUGAUACUAUUUAUCUUGAAUAUCCUGGAGGUGAGCGGAAUAUGUCAUGUAGCGGUGAAAUGCUUAGAUAUGACAUAGAACACCGAUAGCGUAGGCAGCUUACUACACAAAUAUUGACACUGAGGCACGAAAGCGUGGGGAUCAAACAGG